Molecule: long non-coding RNA, 2120 nt
Filed under: Equus caballus (horse)
Lineage: Eukaryota; Metazoa; Chordata; Mammalia; Perissodactyla; Equidae
Description: lncRNA (ENSECAG00000041645.2)
Source: RNAcentral
ACAGGCCCCACAGUGUCCGGCUUCCAGCUCUUUUGCAGUCUAAGAAACAACUUGCUCUGCACAGAUCUCUUAAAGCCUACCGGGAACAUGUCUUACAAAGGCCUGUGAAACGCAGUUUCUUCCCAGGCCUGAUCUCGCUGAAGUAGAAGUUCAGCUCUGCCGUGUCCUACAUGGGCCUAGAGCUCAAAGGGAGAAAGUCCAGCCUUGUGUCCUCAAGGGCAGAGAGGCCCCACAGCGUCCGGCUUCCAGCUCUUUGGGCAGCUGAGAAACAGCUUGCUCUGCACUGCUGUUUUACAGCCUAACGGGAACAUGUCUUACAAAGGCCUGUGAAACGCAGUUUUUUCCCAGGCCUGAUCUCGCUGAAGUAGAACUUCUGCUCUGCCGUGUCCUACAUGGGCCUAGAGCUGAAAGGGACAAAGUCCUCUGUUGUGUCUUCAAGGGCAGACAGGUCCCACAGCGUCCGGCUUCCAGCUCUUUGGCAGUCUAAGAAACAGCUCGCUCUGCACAGGGCUCUUAAAGCCUACCGGGAACAUGUCUUACAAAGGCCUGUGAGACGCAGUUUCGAACCAGGCCUGAUCUCGCUGAAGUAAAACUUCUGCUCUGCCGUGUCCUACAUGGGCCUAGAGCUAUAAGGGACAAAGUCCUGUCUUGUGUCCUCAAGGGCAGACAGGCCCCACAGCGUCCGGCUUCCAGCUCUUUUGCAGUCUAAGAAACAACUCGCUCUGCACAGGGCUCUUAAAGCCUACCGGGAACAUGUCUUACAAAGGCCUGUGAGACGCAGUUUCUUCCCAGGCCUGAUCUCGCUGAAGUAGAACUUCUGCUCUGCCGUGUCCUAUUUGACCCUAGAGCUGCAAUUCACAAAGUCCUGCCUUGUUUCCACAAGGGGAGGCAAGUCCCUCAGCGUCCGGCUUCCAGCUCUUUGGGCAGCUAAGAAACAACUCGCUCUGCACAGGGCUCCUACAAGCCUACCAGGAACAUGUUGAGAAAGGCCUGCGAAACGCAGUUUCUUCCCAGGCCUGAUCUCGCUGAAGCAGAAGUUCAGCUCUGCCGUGUCCUACAUGGGCCUAGAGCUCAAAGGGAGAAAGUCCAGCCUUCUGUCCUCAAGGGCAGAGAGGCCCCACAGCGUCCGGCUUCCAGCUCUUUGGGCAGCUGGGAAACAGCUUGCUCUGCACUGCUGUUUUACAGCCUACCGGGAACAUGUCUUACAAAGGCCUGUGAAACGCAGUUUCUUCCCAGACCUGAUCUCGCUGAAGUAGAACUUCUGCAAUGCCGUGUCCUGCAUGGGCCUAGAGCUGAAAGGGACAAAGUUCUUCCUUUUGUCCUCAAGGGCAGACAGGUCCCACAGCGUCCGGCUUCCAGCUCUUUGGGAAGCUAAGAAACAGCUCACUCUGCACAGGGCUUUUACAAGCCUACCGGGAGCAUGUCUUACAAAGGCCUAUGAAACGCAGUUUCAUCUCAGGCCUGCUCUCGCUGAAGUAGAACUUCUGCUCUGCCGUGUCCUACAUGGGCCUAGAGCUAAAAGGGACAAAGUCCUGUCUUGUGUCCUCAAGGGCAGAGAGGCCCCAAAGCGUCAGGCUUCCAGCUCUUUUGCAGUCUAAGAAACAACUCGCUCUGCACAGGGCUCUUAAAGCCUACCGGGAACAUGUCUUACAAAGGCCUGUGAGACGCAGUUUCUUCCCAGGCCUGAUCUCGCUGAAGUAGAACUUCUGCUCUGCCGUGUCCUAGAUGGGCCUGGAGCUGAAAGGGACAAAGUCCUCUGUUGUGUCUUCAAGGGCAGACAGGCCCCACAGCGUCCGGCUUCCAGCUCUUUUGCAGUCUAAGAAACAACUCGCUCUGCACAGGGCUCUUAAAGCCUACCGGGAACGUGUCUUACAAAGGCCUGUGAGACGCAAUUUCUUCCCAGGCCUGAUCUCACUGAAGUAGAACUUCUGCUCUGCCGUGUCCUACAUGGCCCAAGAGCUGCAAGGCAGAAAGUCCUGCCUUGUUUCCACAAUGGGGGACAAGUCCCUCAGCGUGCCGGUUCCAGCUCUCUGGGCAGCUAAGAAACAACUCGCUCUCCGCAGUGCUCUUACAGCCUACCGGGAACAUCUCUUACAAAGGGCUGUGAAAUGCAGUUUCUU